RNAcentral lists this ribosomal RNA (440 nucleotides) under uncultured bacterium. RNAcentral describes it as "partial 16S ribosomal RNA". It matches the Rfam family "Bacterial small subunit ribosomal RNA", at positions 338 to 795 of the family's 1533-position model. The record is from RNAcentral.
CCUACGGGAGGCAGCAGUGGGGAAUAUUGCACAAUGGGGGAAACCCUGAUGCAGCGACGCCGCGUGAGUGAAGAAGUAAUUCGUUAUGUAAAGCUCUAUCAGCAGGGAAGAAAAUGACGGUACCUGAGUCAGAAGCCCCGGCUAACUACGUGCCAGCAGCCGCGGUAAUACGUAGGGGGCAAGCGUUAUCCGGAUUUACUGGGUGUAAAGGGAGCGUAGACGGCAGUGCAAGUCUGGAGUGAAAGGCGGGGGCUCAACCCCCGGACUGCUCUGGAAACUGUACGGCUGGAGUGCAGGAGAGGUAAGUGGAAUUCCUAGUGUAGCGGUGAAAUGCGUAGAUAUUAGGAGGAACACCAGUGGCGAAGGGGGCUUACUGGACUGUAACUGACGUUGAGGCUCGAAAGCGUGGGGAGCAAACAGGAUUAGAUACCCUAGUAGUC